CAAUUAUUUUUUCCAUGUUGAGCACAAUUUAAUGGUUUUGGUGACCUAAAUCAUGACUCUGAAAGGGUCUGCUCCUUCAGGGCAAGCCAGAGGAGAAAGAAAUACCACAGCCACCAGGAGCUUUCAAAAUGUGCUCCGUGUUUGACAAGUGUUUGCAAUAGCAGGAAGAAGAAUUUUCAGCUGCUUCUUGCAAGUGUCCAAAGGCUCAUUUCUGUACACUUGAACCAGGGUUUUCUCAUUCCAUGGGUCCAGCAGCAACAGCAUUUUGAAACUGGGCAAAACUUCAGCCACAUCUUGACCAACUGGAAAGGAAGGACGUACACCAGCUCUGCUGGGAUUCUCCCUUCGGUUCAUGCAGGGACAGUUCAAGGGACACUACUGCAGUGACAAGGCUGGGGACUGGGAGGAUAGCACAGAAAAACCUUUUCCUUCUGGCAUCACAAAGCAUUUUCCAUCUGCAGCUCUCGAAGAGCCUCAGCAAGACAACUAGCAUGCUUUUGCCUUCGUGCAGAAUGCAAAGCUGAUGCUGUGGCCAGGAAGCACUUUGGGAAUAGAUCUAGUCUCCUGGGCCCCAGGCUGGCCCCAGUCUCCAUCUACCUGGUCUGGUGUUCAAGUCAGCCUGGCUCAGGGGAACUGCAAAGGUUUCUAGGGAGAAGUCCUCCUUAGCCAUCACACUUAGAAGGUGGUGUGCCUAGGAGAAGGGAGCUUAGAGGCCUUCAAAAGCUCCAGUUCAUCCUCAGCCUGUGCUACCAUGAUUCCAUUAUCCCAUAUUAUAAUAGUAGAGGGUAUUUCCUCUGAAUGGUCUUGACUUACUGUGGCAGUAACUUGCACAGGCUCACACUGUUACCAAACUCUUUUGAGAGUCCAGAAAGUGAGUGCAGGUGCAGAGCAGUUGUUGCCAGCACACUCUGACGGGGCACCAAAAGGGACAGAAGUGCUGAGGGGUGGGUACCUGUGGAUGACCCACCUCUUGAGAAUCACAGGAAAGUGUGUGUGUGUUUGAGGGGGGAAGAGAGGAUGCUGUGCCAUCGAAGGACCAGCAGGAUGAGCUUGGAGAAGCAGAACAGUCAGGGUGGGAGGGGAAUUAUGUGCAGCACUCCAGGAAGGUGUAACAAGGAAGAGCAGGACUGAGCAAGUCAAAGCACAUUCCUCACCGGCUGGCAGGAGACAAGAUCACCCUGUACGUGAGAGGGACCAUGCCAGCUCCCAGCUCGAGCACCGUGCCCUGUCUGCAUGCCAGCCGCACCUCGCUCCUGUCCCCAUGCACCUCGAAGGAAAUUUGGGCUCCCAUGCUUUCCCCUGGGGACCAGGAGCCCAGACCAUGUGCUGCUGCUUGGCCUGGACACAGCCACUGUCCUUCAGAGAAGCUUGUGUGGGCCACCACAGACUGAGUCACAGGGAGUCAAAGAUACCCUGCUGUAGUGGCCUUAGGGCUAGUAGCUGGAGGGGAAAGGUCUUUGGAUUCGAGAGGUCCGGAGCUCAGUGGACAAGAGGAUGAGGCAGGAAAAACAGGAAGGCGGCCCCAGCAGAGCAGUGUAAAUGAUGGCUCAUGGGUGUCUUUGGCAGGCCUGAGGAACCCGAGAAAACCUACAUGGGAGCUGCUGAAAUAGGUUCCUGUUGCACCACAGGCAUGCAUUUUGUUUCCCUCUUCAGGCUCCCUGUGCUCCCCUCAAUAUUAUUACUAUCAGGAAUAUUUGGAAACAAAACCCCAUUUCAAACUGAGCAAAAUCAAGCCCUUUCAUUAAGAAAUCUGCCCGGUGGCAUGCUUUGAUCUUUUUUAGCUGAACCCAUCAGCAAGCUCGGCAGGAGCUGCAAAUAGCCCCGGCUGGUUUACAGCUGGCCAGCCUGCGCUGAAGCAAUUUUGCUUGUCUCUGGUGCCGAGACUGAUUGGCUUGGAGUCCCUUUUGUAACCACGGGCAGGAGGAGCUUUAUCUGCGGGUUUUACAUGAUCCUGUGAUCUUUUCCUUCACUAAUUUGCCAUACGGCCUAAUGAGCGUGCAGAGGCAUGCGUCGCCCCGGAUGGCUGCAGGCCUCCGCUCGGCAGCCGGCAGAUGGUGCUCCCACCUCACCGCAGCGUGCCGUGUCCAGGCUUUGCAGGGGAUCCUGGCAUAAAAAACCUCCCCUCUCCUCCAGGCCAAAGCACCCGGAGUCCCCAGCACGGGUAAAAGCCAUGAAAAGCUGGAGAGACGUCACAGCAGAGGAGCAGAGACACGUGUGGAGGGCUGGCAGCGGCCUGACACGUGCUCUCUGCGGCCACCACACGUGUCUCGUGGCACACAUCCCUGGCAGCGCGGUGGCUGCUGCUGAGUCCUCUACUGACACUUUGGGAAAGGCCAGGUGCUCACUGACCCUCGAGAGGGAGAUGGAUGCUCUGCAAAGGAGAUCUUGAACCACAUGUCACACUUGUGCCUCCUGAUAGAUCCUAGGAUGACCCCCUAGGUCAGGGGCCUGCAGUCCUGGCUCAGCUGUUUGCCCUAAAACAGUAGUAAAUACUGUGCUGGCACAAGCCCAGCGAGGUCCUUUUCUCUUUGCCUACGGAUGACUAACAUGACUACCCCUCGGCAUUUACCCGCGAUGAGUCAGGCCUGCAAAAUCAUGAGACUGGCUUGAGAAUAAUACACAGUGAGAGCUAUUUGUGUCCAAGCCUUUAAGGUACUCUUGGGGCUUGUUUCCUCUGGAAUCGGCAGGGCUGGGAACAUGCUGUUCUUGCACAAUGGAAGGCAAGCUGAGAGUCCUGAGCUGCAGGCGAUGAGCUUUCUGAUGAGCAUCAAAUGUCAAAAAGCUCGCGAUAGAUUAUAGGAGGCGGGAAGGCUGAGAAGGCAUACAGACCUCUCUGAGUUGCCCCAAACUUGCUGAGUGGGGGUCCUGGCUGUUUGCAUGAGAGAUCUCAUGCAUUCAGUGUUCAUGCAUUAAAAUAAUGGAUCUUUCUUGCUCUGUCCUUGGCCAAAAUCUUCCCUUGGCUUUCAUUGUGUUGCUCAUUUCCACCUUGGGAGUGGCUGCACUGCAGCAAUGAGCAUCAGACCAGCCUAUGGGGUGCUGUGGCUCUCAGUGAGCUGUAAGGAAAGCUGAAUCCUUUCCUCAUAAAACCCGGGGCUCAGGUUCUGGCUCUAGCGUCAGUGUCCAUUUGUACUGACCAGGAUCAUCUCUUCUGCCAAAAUAGUCAGUCAGCCCCAAUAAAAGGUGAUGAUCAGGAGUUUGGAGGCUGAAUCAGACAGCUGGGAUGAAGAAACAGCUUCAAGACAUUCAGGGUAACUGGCACCAUGUAUUACAAAUCCUUUGCAAAUACCAUUGCUGACGAAGACAGAAUCCAGAUCCUGUCAAAAUCUUAAGUAUGAGGCACUUUUUUUUGAUGGCUGUUAGAAAAAUGUUGUGGGACACUGUUGUUGGACAACCUUGACCUCUGUUCUAAAUGUCCCAAGAAAAGGCUGCUACAUAAAUAGCAAAGUAGCACUUUUGUUCGCCUGUUGGGAAUAAGGACCCUUGGCUUUCAUACUGUCAACCUGUUUUCCCCACUGAUGAGAGCUGCCAGAAAGAGGAGUGUUGUUGAAGUAUAAUGCUUUCUGAAGGAGGUGUUGCUUUUCCUGUCUAAAGGGAUGAGGCUAAGAGCAUGGGCUAAGGCCUGAUGAAGCUGAACAGAUUUUCCUUAAAGCCCUAAAAAGUAGACAGCCAGAGACUGAAGGAAAGAGAAAUGUGCAAGAACAGUAACCCUUUGCUGAGUGUGAAUGUUGAAGCCCACUAGGAAAGAGGGAUUCAUUCUGGUCAGGUGCUGCUGAGGGGUGUCAGUACAUGACAGCAAACUGUUCUGGCCAUGCUACAAUUCAUUGUCAACAACUGAUAGUACUCAAGCUUGCUUGUACCACUGUUUUACAAAGUCAUUCAUGUCUGACUUCCAUCAUGGCAGCAUCCGAAGACAUGGUCCACUGCAGCCUCCCAGUACACUUAUGAAACAUCAGCUGUUGAGUGGAGGCUGGCAAGUGCACCAUGGCACAGGUAACGACUUGCCCAGAGUCAGGCAGUGAGGUGAUGUAUCGUAUGAUACAUCUGAGCUGAAAACAGAGCAGAGCGGAGCCUGCUACCUGGGAGAAGAAGGGGAGGGAGGUUGCUCCCUACAGCAUUGUCAAUGCUGAGACAGGGGGUACCCUACUGAGGUGGGGUGCAAGGUCAUCCUGUGAAACGAGAGGCUUCUGGCCAGGGGCUGCUUGGGACUGGGAGCUCAGUGAACUGAGGAUGGCACCCUACCAGGUGCAAAAGAGGAUCCUGUAUGAAGUGAGCUCUUCCCAAGCACCAGAGUUUAUUUGGUGACCUGCAUCUGGUCUCAGAGUGCAAAUCAACAGUGAUGUUGCACCGGUUUUACAGUAAUACAUGCAAAGUAGGAAUGAGCCCUGUGUUUAGAGGACACAGGAGCAUUCAUUACACCAUCCAUGUCACACCAAUAGAGAGCAGGCCAAAAAAAAAAAAAGCAACUGCUACCACAUAAGAAGACUAGUGUUGAUAUUAAUCCAUCACAAGGUGAAAUUUUCUGGAAUUAGGUACUUCAGGUAACUUUGUUGUUACCUGUUACCACCACAAAAGUCAUGCUAACUCCCAGAGUUUCUGCUGCCAGCCUUCAUAGCAGUACACGUUCGGAAGAAGAAUCCCACCACUUCCUCUGCUCAGCUUUCAGAAAUAUGGCAAAAUGAUUCAGACCUCACGUCACCAGGGUGAGUGAAGAGUAAUAAAUACAUAAACCCUUGGAUGGCAAGAUGAAGGCCACGAACUGGGGCGUGCGGUCCCUGCAGUUCCUCCUCUCCUACACGGGGAUGGCGAUGCUGUCUCAGCUCUUCUUUCAGCGACAAUGCACACUGUGCGCUCUGUGAAGGGCUCUUUUUUUAGCACCACAGGGCGUGCUGACUAGAUGAUGCCACAUGACAGAGUCAUUCUUCCAGCCGGAGUCUGUUCUGCUCUUGCUACGGUCCGAAGCCUUGCAUGCAGCUGCUGGAACAGCCCUACACGCCUGGGUUCUGUAAGCAGAGAAAGAACAAAAUGUCUUCAGGAAUUAAGUGUGGUGGUUUUGGGAGGCUUUUUUUUUAUGCUAUUUACAGGACUGUAUCCAGUGAUUGUUAGUGGUGAUGCUCACGGAGAAGAGAGACACAUCCCUGCUCAGGAAACAGGGUCUUCUAAUUCCAGCUUACAGACUUUGAGCAUGGAUAUAAAUUAUUCCCCUUUUACCUGCCCCGGUCUUCCUCCACAGCUAAGUGUCUACUUAAACUGUAAGCUUUUGGAGACAGUGAGUAUCUUCCAGUGUGGGUUUGUAGAGCACCUGGCAAAAUAGGGACCCUUGAUCUUGAUUGCAGCUUUCACUCAUUAUUUUAAUAAUAGCAUCAAAGUCAUCAUAUAAAUUAAUUUACCCUGAACACUCCCUUGGCAUUAUUGCACUCUAGAUCAUGUGUGAUAAGAAAUGAUGGAUGGAAAACUGUGUGUGUGUGCACGUGGCAAUGUCUGUGUAGUGUAAAACCCCUUUCUGAGUUUGGUGUGACUGGAGGUGUGACACCUGGGCUGCUAGGCUGAGGUGACUGCCCUCCAAGUGGCAGCACCGCACUCAGAUGUUAUGUGUGUGCCAUCUCUGCUGCCUGCCACAAGGUUUCUUCCGUGUGGGAAGGAGUCAACUCGCCGACUUGGAACCAAAGGAUGAUUUUGUAGGCAGUUGUGGUGGUUCUCUGCAGAGGCACCUCCUUAGAGAGGGGGACACACGGCCUGGAGGGUGACCAGUAUCUCCAUUACAUGUGGCUACAAGGGAUACUGGUUGAUCCAUCUUGAUCAAAAACAAAACCCAAAACAAACAAACAAACAAACAGAAAAGGUUUGUGCAGAUAGGGAACAUCCAGUCCCUUCCGUGUUUUUCAUUGUUCAUUAGAAACAUCACUGGAAGUAGAGGUGUCAGUUCAUAAGGAGAAACUCCCUUUUGACUAAAAGAAUCCUGGCAAAGGACUUUUUAAACAGGGACGUUUGU
Cygnus olor (mute swan) is the source of this 5989-nucleotide long non-coding RNA. RefSeq lists it as uncharacterized. The record is from RefSeq and is a predicted model, not a curated record. Lineage: Eukaryota; Metazoa; Chordata; Aves; Anseriformes; Anatidae. The transcript is spliced from 3 exons.